GACAGAGGUGCCGAGCGUUAGGCGGAAUCACUGGGCUUAAAGCGUGUGUAGGCGGGCGAUCAAGUACCUUGUGAAAUCCCACGGCUCAACCGUGGAACCGCUGGGUAUACUGGUUGUCUUGAGCCAGCUAGGGGCUACCGGAACAAAUGGUGGAGCGGUGAAAUGCGUAGAUAUCAUUUGGAACGCCAAUGGUGAAAACAGGUAGCUGGGGCUGUGCUGACACUGAGACACGAAAGCCAGGGAGCAAACGGG
RNAcentral lists this ribosomal RNA (252 nucleotides) under uncultured bacterium. RNAcentral's name for it is "partial 16S ribosomal RNA". It matches the Rfam family "Bacterial small subunit ribosomal RNA", at positions 524 to 776 of the family's 1533-position model. The record is from RNAcentral.